RNAcentral lists this non-coding RNA (61 nucleotides) under Sus scrofa (pig). The record is from RNAcentral. Lineage: Eukaryota; Metazoa; Chordata; Mammalia; Artiodactyla; Suidae.
CCCGUGUGCCGUGCUCCAGCGUGGUGUGGGCCACUCAGCUCUGCUGGAGGACGCCCGGUGU